This 237-nucleotide ribosomal RNA is filed under the name Triticum aestivum (bread wheat). RNAcentral's name for it is "partial small subunit ribosomal RNA". Lineage: Eukaryota; Viridiplantae; Streptophyta; Magnoliopsida; Poales; Poaceae. The record is from RNAcentral.
AUGUGGAUGAGGAAGAAGAAGGCGGCGACGACGAGGCCGGCGGCCAGGAGGAGGGCGCCGACGUCUCUAGGGGCGCUGUGGCGGCGCGUGGUCGGGCCGGCCCGCGGCGGCAAGACCAAAAAGACCAAGACCAAGAAGAGCAAGAUCGGGUCGCUCUCGCGCGCGUUCCGGGCGUUCUCCUGCGUCCGCGGCCAUGGCAAAGGGAGGAUGGCUGCCCGCGCAGCGCGCAGGUACUGA